Molecule: long non-coding RNA, 242 nt
Organism: Dermacentor silvarum
Lineage: Eukaryota; Metazoa; Arthropoda; Arachnida; Ixodida; Ixodidae
Exons: 3
Source: RefSeq, a predicted model, not a curated record
CCGCGUCGAUUUUAAUUCUCAACGGCUGCGCCAGGCAAGUCAACGCUUGUUGCUGCUGGUGAGCUGCCUGCACCUUGGUGUCUGUGUAUUCGUCUCGACUUUGUGGCAUCACACGUCAACUACACUGAACGCGGGUGUCAUAGACUGCCAGGGAAUUUUCAUGAAAACAGCCAGGGAAAGCUUGGAAAAACAUCAGGGAAAUUGAAAAUGACAACAUAGCAUGCACCUGCAGCACCUUCGGA